ACGGGGGUCGCCAAGCCUGGUCAACGGCGAUGGAUUUAAGCUCCAUUCCUUAGUGGUUCGUGGGUUCGAAUCCCACCCCCCGUA
This 84-nucleotide transfer RNA is filed under the name Candidatus Heimdallarchaeota archaeon. RNAcentral describes it as "tRNA-Leu". It matches the Rfam family "tRNA". Rfam says of the family: Transfer RNA (tRNA) molecules are approximately 80 nucleotides in length. Their secondary structure includes four short double-helical elements and three loops (D, anti-codon, and T loops). Lineage: Archaea; Promethearchaeati; Candidatus Heimdallarchaeota. The record is from RNAcentral.